GACGAACGCUGGCGGCGUGCUUAACACAUGCAAGUCGAACGGAAAGGCCCUGCUUUUGUGGGGUGCUCGAGUGGCGAACGGGUGAGUAACACGUGAGUAACCUGCCCUUGACUUUGGGAUAACUUCAGGAAACUGGGGCUAAUACCGGAUAGGAGCUCCUGCUGCAUGGUGGGGGUUGGAAAGUUUCGGCGGUUGGGGAUGGACUCGCGGCUUAUCAGCUUGUUGGUGGGUAGUGGCUUACCAAGGCUUUGACGGGUAGCCGGCCUGAGAGGGUGACCGGCCACAUUGGGACUGAGAUACGGCCCAGACUCCUACGGGAGGCAACAGUGGGGAAUAUUGCACAAUGGGCGGAAGCCUGAUGCAGCAACGCCGCGUGCGGGAUGACGGCCUUCGGGUUGUAAACCGCUUUCGCCUGUGACGAAGCGUGAGUGACGGUAAUGGGUAAAGAAGCACCGGCUAACUACGU
RNAcentral lists this ribosomal RNA (466 nucleotides) under uncultured bacterium. Its description in RNAcentral is "partial 16S ribosomal RNA". It matches the Rfam family "Bacterial small subunit ribosomal RNA", at positions 28 to 506 of the family's 1533-position model. The record is from RNAcentral.